AAUGAACGUUGGCGGCGUGGAUUAGGCAUGCAAGUCGUGCGGAAAGGCUCCUUCGGGAGUACUCGAGCGGCGAAAGGGAGAGUAACGCGUGGAUAUCUACCCCCUGGCCUGGGAUAGCGGCGGGAAACUGCCGGUAAUACCAGAUAAUGUCUGCGGACCAAAGGUGUGAUUCCGCCGGGGGAUGAGUUCGCGUCCUAUUAGCUAGUUGGUAGGGUAACGGCCUACCAAGGCAAAGAUGGGUACCGGGUGUGAGAGCAUGGCCCGGCUCACUGGGACUGAGACACGGCCCAGACACCUACGGGUGGCUGCAGUCGGGAAUCUUCGGCAAUGGGCGCAAGCCUGACCGAGCGACGCCGCGUGCGGGAUGAAGGCCUUCGGGUUGUAAACCGCUGUCAGAGGGGAGGAAAUGCGUAGGAGUUCUCUCUUACGUUUGACCUAUCCUCAGAGGAAGUACGGGCUAAGUUCGUGCCAGCCGCCGCAGUAACAC
RNAcentral lists this ribosomal RNA (487 nucleotides) under uncultured bacterium. RNAcentral's name for it is "bacterial SSU rRNA". It matches the Rfam family "Bacterial small subunit ribosomal RNA", at positions 28 to 526 of the family's 1533-position model. The record is from RNAcentral.